GACGGAGGAUGCAAGCGUUAUCCGGAAUGAUUGGGCGUAAAGCGUCCGCAGGUGGCAGUUCAAGUCUGCUGUCAAAGACCGGGGCUUAACUUCGGAAAGGCAGUGGAAACUGAACAGCUAGAGUAUGGUAGGGGCAGAGGGAAUUCCUGGUGUAGCGGUGAAAUGCGUAGAGAUCGGAAGGAACGUCGAUGGCGAAGGCAGGUCUCUGGGCCACUACUGACGCUGAGAAGCGAAAGCAUGGGGAGCGAACAGG
RNAcentral lists this ribosomal RNA (253 nucleotides) under uncultured bacterium. RNAcentral describes it as "partial 16S ribosomal RNA". It matches the Rfam family "Bacterial small subunit ribosomal RNA", at positions 524 to 776 of the family's 1533-position model. The record is from RNAcentral.